UCCCCUGUGUGGCGGCCAGCCAGAUGCCGACACCCAGCACGCCACAGCCUCCCAGCUGGGGCACAGCAACAUGAGAGACACAGACAGGAUGGAGUCUCACCCUGUUGCUCAGGCUGGAGUGCAGUGGCACCAUCUGGGCUCACUGCAACCUCCUCCACUUCCCAGGUUCAAGUGAUUCUCCUGCCUCAGCCUCCCAAGUAGCUGGGACUACAGGCAUGCCCCACCACACCCGGUUAAUUUUUUGUAUUUUUAGUAGAGAUGGUUUAGCCACAAUA
Molecule: long non-coding RNA, 275 nt
Organism: Pan troglodytes (chimpanzee)
Lineage: Eukaryota; Metazoa; Chordata; Mammalia; Primates; Hominidae
Exons: 2
Source: RefSeq, a predicted model, not a curated record